RNAcentral lists this transfer RNA (67 nucleotides) under Marmota monax (woodchuck). RNAcentral's name for it is "tRNA.Ala". Lineage: Eukaryota; Metazoa; Chordata; Mammalia; Rodentia; Sciuridae. The record is from RNAcentral.
GGUUAUGGCUCAGUGGUAGAGUGCUUGCCUGGCACAUGCGAGGCCCUGGGUUCGAUCCUCAGCACCA